CCUACGGGUGGCAGCAGUGGGGGAUAUUGCACAAUGGAGGAAACUCUGAUGCAGCGACGCCGCGUGAGUGAAGAAGUAUUUCGGUAUGUAAAGCUCUAUCAGCAGGGAAGAAAGACUCGAAAGAGAGAUGACGGUACCUGACUAAGAAGCUCCGGCUAAAUACGUGCCAGCAGCCGCGGUAAUACGUAUGGAGCAAGCGUUAUCCGGAUUUACUGGGUGUAAAGGGAGCGCAGACGGUUAUGCAAGUCUGAAGUGAAAAACCACGGCUCAACUGUGGUCUUGCUUUGGAAACUGUGUAACUAGAGUGUCGGAAGGGUAAGCGGAAUUCCUAGUGUAGCGGUGAAAUGCGUAGAUAUUAGGAAGAACACCGGAGGCGAAGGCGGCUUACUGGACGAUAACUGACGUUGAGGCUCGAAGGCGUGGGUAGCAAACAGGAUUAGAUACCCUGGUAGUC
This 454-nucleotide ribosomal RNA is filed under the name uncultured Butyrivibrio sp. Its description in RNAcentral is "bacterial SSU rRNA". It matches the Rfam family "Bacterial small subunit ribosomal RNA", at positions 338 to 795 of the family's 1533-position model. The record is from RNAcentral. Lineage: Bacteria; Bacillati; Bacillota; Clostridia; Lachnospirales; Lachnospiraceae.